RNAcentral lists this ribosomal RNA (373 nucleotides) under uncultured organism. RNAcentral's name for it is "partial 16S ribosomal RNA". It matches the Rfam family "Bacterial small subunit ribosomal RNA", at positions 527 to 896 of the family's 1533-position model. The record is from RNAcentral.
GUAGGUGGCAAGCGUUAUCCGGAAUUACUGGGCGUAAAGCGUACGUAGGCGGUUCGGAAAGUCUGUCGUGAAAUCUCUCGGCUUAACUGGGAGCGGUCGAUGGAAACUUCCGGACUUGAGGAGCGUAGAAGUGAGCGGAAUUCCCGGUGUAGCGGUGAUAUGCGUAGAUAUCGGGAGGAACACCAGUGGCGAAAGCGGCUCACUAGGCGCCACCUGACGCUGAGGUACGAAAGCGUGGGGAGCGAACCGGAUUAGAUACCCGGGGUAGUCCACGCCGUAAACGAUGGAUGCUAGACGUGGGGGGUAAUCGACCCCCCUUCUGUGUGCAGCUAACGCAUUAAGCAUCCCGCCUGGGGACUACGGCCGCAAGCUA